GGUUAAGCGACUAAGCGUACACGGUGGAUGCCCCGGCAGUCAGAGGCGAUGAAGGACGUGCUAAUCUGCGAUAAGCGUCGGUAAGGUGAUAUGAACCGUUAUAACCGGCGAUUUCCGAAUGGGGGAAACCCAGUGUGUUUCGACACACUAUCAUUAACUGAAUCCAUAGGUUAAUGAGGGCGAACCGGGGGAACUGAAACAUCUAAGUACCCCGAGGAAAAGAAAUCAACCGAGAUUCCCCCAGUAGCGGCGAGCGAACGGGGAGGAGCCCAGAGCCUGAAUCAGUGUGUGUGUUAGUGGAAGCGUCUGGAAAGGCGCGCGAUACAGGGUGACAGCCCCGUACACAAAAAUGCACAUGCUGUGAGCUCGAUGAGUAGGGCGGGACACGUGGUAUCCUGUCUGAAUAUGGGGGGACCAUCCUCCAAGGCUAAAUACUCCUGACUGACCGAUAGUGAACCAGUACCGUGAGGGAAAGGCGAAAAGAACCCCGGCGAGGGGGAGUGAAAAGAACCUGAAACCGUGUACGUACAAGCAGUGGGAGCACAGAGCAAUCUGUGUGACUGCGUACCUUUUGUAUAAUGGGUCAGCGACUUAUAUUCUGUAGCAAGGUUAACCGAAUAGGGGAGCCGAAGGGAAACCGAGUCUUAACUGGGCGUUAAGUUGCAGGGUAUAGACCCGAAACCCGGUGAUCUAGCCAUGGGCAGGUUGAAGGUUGGGUAACACUAACUGGAGGACCGAACCGACUAAUGUUGAAAAAUUAGCGGAUGACUUGUGGCUGGGGGUGAAAGGCCAAUCAAACCGGGAGAUAGCUGGUUCUCCCCGAAAGCUAUUUAGGUAGCGCCUCGUGAAUUCAUCUCCGGGGGUAGAGCACUGUUUCGGCAAGGGGGUCAUCCCGACUUACCAACCCGAUGCAAACUGCGAAUACCGGAGAAUGUUAUCACGGGAGACACACGGCGGGUGCUAACGUCCGUCGUGAAGAGGGAAACAACCCAGACCGCCAGCUAAGGUCCCAAAGUCAUGGUUAAGUGGGAAACGAUGUGGGAAGGCCCAGACAGCCAGGAUGUUGGCUUAGAAGCAGCCAUCAUUUAAAGAAAGCGUAAUAGCUCACUGGUCGAGUCGGCCUGCGCGGAAGAUGUAACGGGGCUAAACCAUGCACCGAAGCUGCGGCAGCGACACUGUGUGUUGUUGGGUAGGGGAGCGUUCUGUAAGCCUGUGAAGGUGUGCUGUGAGGCAUGCUGGAGGUAUCAGAAGUGCGAAUGCUGACAUAAGUAACGAUAAAGCGGGUGAAAAGCCCGCUCGCCGGAAGACCAAGGGUUCCUGUCCAACGUUAAUCGGGGCAGGGUGAGUCGACCCCUAAGGCGAGGCCGAAAGGCGUAGUCGAUGGGAAACAGGUUAAUAUUCCUGUACUUGGUGUUACUGCGAAGGGGGGACGGAGAAGGCUAUGUUGGCCGGGCGACGGUUGUCCCGGUUUAAGCGUGUAGGCUGGUUUUCCAGGCAAAUCCGGAAAAUCAAGGCUGAGGCGUGAUGACGAGGCACUACGGUGCUGAAGCAACAAAUGCCCUGCUUCCAGGAAAAGCCUCUAAGCAUCAGGUAACAUCAAAUCGUACCCCAAACCGACACAGGUGGUCAGGUAGAGAAUACCAAGGCGCUUGAGAGAACUCGGGUGAAGGAACUAGGCAAAAUGGUGCCGUAACUUCGGGAGAAGGCACGCUGAUAUGUAGGUGAAGUCCCUCGCGGAUGGAGCUGAAAUCAGUCGAAGAUACCAGCUGGCUGCAACUGUUUAUUAAAAACACAGCACUGUGCAAACACGAAAGUGGACGUAUACGGUGUGACGCCUGCCCGGUGCCGGAAGGUUAAUUGAUGGGGUCAGCGCAAGCGAAGCUCUUGAUCGAAGCCCCGGUAAACGGCGGCCGUAACUAUAACGGUCCUAAGGUAGCGAAAUUCCUUGUCGGGUAAGUUCCGACCUGCACGAAUGGCGUAAUGAUGGCCGGGCUGUCUCCACCCGAGACUCAGUGAAAUUGAACUCGCUGUGAAGAUGCAGUGUACCCGCGGCAAGACGGAAAGACCCCGUGAACCUUUACUAUAGCUUGACACUGAACAUUGAGCCUUGAUGUGUAGGAUAGGUGGGAGGCUUUGAAGUGUGGACGCCAGUCUGCAUGGAGCCGACCUUGAAAUACCACCCUUUAAUGUUUGAUGUUCUAACGUGGACCCGUGAUCCGGGUUGCGGACAGUGUCUGGUGGGUAGUUUGACUGGGGCGGUCUCCUCCUAAAGAGUAACGGAGGAGCACGAAGGUUGGCUAAUCCUGGUCGGACAUCAGGAGGUUAGUGCAAUGGCAUAAGCCAGCUUGACUGCGAGCGUGACGGCGCGAGCAGGUGCGAAAGCAGGUCAUAGUGAUCCGGUGGUUCUGAAUGGAAGGGCCAUCGCUCAACGGAUAAAAAGGUACUCCGGGGAUAACAGGCUGAUACCGCCCAAGAGUUCAUAUCGACGGCGGUGUUUGGCACCUCGAUGUCGGCUCAUCACAUCCUGGGGCUGAAGUAGGUCCCAAGGGUAUGGCUGUUCGCCAUUUAAAGUGGUACGCGAGCUGGGUUUAGAACGUCGUGAGACAGUUCGGUCCCUAUCUGCCGUGGGCGCUGGAGAACUGAGGGGGGCUGCUCCUAGUACGAGAGGACCGGAGUGGACGCAUCACUGGUGUUCGGGUUGUCAUGCCAAUGGCACUGCCCGGUAGCUAAAUGCGGAAGAGAUAAGUGCUGAAAGCAUCUAAGCACGAAACUUGCCCCGAGAUGAGUUCUCCCUGACCCUUUAAGGGUCCUGAAGGAACGUUGAAGACGACGACGUUGAUAGGCCGGGUGUGUAAGCGCAGCGAUGCGUUGAGCUAACCGGUACUAAUGAACCGUGAGGCUUAACCUU
RNAcentral lists this ribosomal RNA (2908 nucleotides) under Escherichia coli. Its description in RNAcentral is "23S ribosomal RNA". It matches the Rfam family "Bacterial large subunit ribosomal RNA". Lineage: Bacteria; Pseudomonadati; Pseudomonadota; Gammaproteobacteria; Enterobacterales; Enterobacteriaceae. The record is from RNAcentral.